GAUGAACGCUGGCGGCGUGCCUAACACAUGCAAGUCGAACGGAGUCGUUUUGGAAAUCUCUUCGGAGAUGGAAUUCUCGACUUAGUGGCGGACGGGUGAGUAACGCGUGAGCAAUCUGCCUUUAAGAGGGGGAUAACAGUCGGAAACGGCUGCUAAUACCGCAUAAAGCAUUAAAUUCGCAUGUUUUUGAUGCCAAAGGAGCAAUCCGCUUUUAGAUGAGCUCGCGUCUGAUUGGCUAGUUGGCGGGGUAACGGCCCACCAAGGCGACGAUCAGUAGCCGGACUGAGAGGUUGAACGGCCACAUUGGGACUGAGACACGGCCCAGACUCCUACGGGAGGCAGCAGUGGGGAAUAUUGCGCAAUGGGGGAAACCCUGACGCAGCAACGCCGCGUGAUUGAAGAAGGCCUUCGGGUUGUAAAGAUCUUUAAUCAGGGACGAAACAAAUGACGGUACCUGAAGAAUAAGCUCCGGCUAACUACGUG
This 483-nucleotide ribosomal RNA is filed under the name uncultured bacterium. RNAcentral's name for it is "partial 16S ribosomal RNA". It matches the Rfam family "Bacterial small subunit ribosomal RNA", at positions 28 to 507 of the family's 1533-position model. The record is from RNAcentral.